This is a non-coding RNA of Salvelinus sp. IW2-2015, 292 nucleotides long. The record is from RefSeq and is a predicted model, not a curated record. Lineage: Eukaryota; Metazoa; Chordata; Actinopteri; Salmoniformes; Salmonidae.
AGGAGAAGUACAAAAUACAUCUACAGAAUCACUACUUAACUUUGUGUACCACCUCUCUUCUCAACCUCUCAGGACAUAGACGCUGGAGCUCUGUCCUACACCUUGAUGGGUCUGAAGAAGUUCACAGAGUACAGCAUUAGAGUGGUGGCCUUCAACAAGCACGGUCCGGGAGUGCCACAGGAGACAUCACCGUCACCACCCUGUCUGAUGUUCCCAGUGCCCCUCCUCAAAACCUCACUGUGGAAGUUCACAACUCAAAGAGCAUUAUGGUGCGGUGCAGCCCGCACCACCA